Small nuclear RNA from Lycium ferocissimum, 112 nucleotides. RefSeq annotates it as U5 spliceosomal RNA. The record is from RefSeq and is a predicted model, not a curated record. NCBI's taxonomy places the organism in Eukaryota, Viridiplantae, Streptophyta, Magnoliopsida, Solanales, Solanaceae. The transcript has a single exon.
AGCCACGCGAUGAGCACAAAGCGAACUAUUGUUUCGCCUUUUACUAAAGAAUACCGUGUUGCAAUUAGUGGUAUACGCUUAUUUUUGGAGGGGUUUUUUUUUACUGAGACGU